Molecule: non-coding RNA, 759 nt
Filed under: Pan troglodytes (chimpanzee)
Lineage: Eukaryota; Metazoa; Chordata; Mammalia; Primates; Hominidae
Source: RNAcentral
GAGCUCUGUGGGCCCCAGGUGCCCCAGGAAAACUUGGGGGAGAAUGGGCAUCCCACCCCAGCACUUUCUAGGAAGGAGGGCAGCAUUUUGAAGGGCUGGAAGUAGAGGAAGGAGGUUGCGGGUAGAAGACUCCAUACUUUCUGUGAUGCCUAUUCCUUAGGUAGGAACUUAGGAACCUCAGGAAUCAAGGCUAUCUGUAAUCACAGGGCUAUUUGAAAAAGAGAAGAAAAGGUGUCUUGAAAUUCAACCAACAUGUUUCAAUUAUUUGCUCCUAAGAACAACAGAAGUUUCAACAUUCUGCCAACAAAGUAACUCCUGGAAGAUUGGCACAGAAGAAGGCACAAGGAGAGCCUUUAUAUAACCAAAGAUAUUUUUGGACCAUGAAUUCGGAAAUUCUCGGAGCCACCCAUCAGUGCCUGAGCUUCAGUGAGUCCAUAUCCCAUGUCACCCACGGCAAAGGAGAAUCUAAGACUUCUGAAGAGUUUCUUGCUUCUUUCCUGUGGGGCAGUGACUCCACUUCCCAGCAGUAAUGGAAUAUCCUGAAUUAGCUACAUUAAUGUUAGAACCAUUUGGACCUCACCCAGGACUUCAACUACAUUAUGCUAAAGUUACAGAACCCAAAUUUGGCAACUGUCUGCAUCUGAACAACAGAAGUUUCAACAUUCUGCCAACAGAGUAACUCCUGGACGAUUGGCACAGAAGGCACAAGGCAAAUACCUAUCUCUGUACACCCUGUGCUACUGUGUCAUGUGCUGCUCC